This 2553-nucleotide long non-coding RNA is filed under the name Canis lupus familiaris (dog). RNAcentral describes it as "lncRNA (ENSCAFG00000058329.1, ENSCAFG00845021155.1)". The record is from RNAcentral. Lineage: Eukaryota; Metazoa; Chordata; Mammalia; Carnivora; Canidae.
UUUUUUUUUUGGAGCAUAAUAGUUCUUGGGGAGCGUUGAAUCGUAUUUAAAAAGUGCCUUAUUAUUCUAGCUACUGGGGUCAUAGUGAUUAUUGUUUUCAUUCAGAUUAAUUAUCAAAGGGAAUCAAGAUAGACACGCUGAGCUUGACUUACUAGGAUGACAUUCCUUAUUCUGUUUCUAACUAGAAUCAUUAGGUUUGUCUACUUGUUGAGUACUUUUGACUGAAAGAUGUUAUCAACCCAGGGCACCUGCGUGACUCAGUUGGUUGAGCAUCUGCCUUCAGCUCAGGUCAUGGUCCCAGGGUCCUGGGAUUGAGCCCUACAUUGGGCUCCCUACUUGUGGGGAGCCUGCUUCUCCCUCUCCUCCCUGCCUGUGCUCUCUCAAAUAAAUAAAAUCUUUAAAAAAAGUUGUUAUCAACACUCCUCCCUGACACCCCAUCACGCAAUAACUCCCCUCCCAUAAAUACACCCAGACACAGCUCUGAGAUUUCUAGCCAGUCCUGGGUUCUCUGUGAGUACCGGCUGCAUGAUGACAUGAUUAAAGAGAUAAAUUGGCCAAGUCCCCACAGUUUAUGAAUUCAGACUACAUGGAAUUGGGGUAUGGCCUCAGGAGACUUACAGUAUUUGCUGAAAACUGACACUUAAACUGAACAUCAGAGAACAUUCUGUCCCCCAUUCCCCACUCCCAGGCUAACAAGCACCGAGUGAAAAGAACAGUGAAUUACGGCUGGUAAUGCUGCAAGUGACAGAUUCUGAGGAGCAGACAUUUAGUGAAACCCUCUAGCAAACUAACUCACAUCUUGAAUACCGGAAGACUUUGAAGCUGGAGGUGUCCUGAGAGUAAGCAUAACAACAAACUGCAAACUAAGCCCAGUUUGUGACCAGAUAAACACAAGUACUGGAUAACUGGCAUACCACGACCCAAUGUGAGCUCACUGAGCAUUACAAAAUUUCCAUCACUGUGAGCUCUCUCAUACAACAUAGAUCCCGUGAUGCUGCAUCUUACUGCAUCUGGCCAGGUGGUACUCAGUUGCAUUUUGUCCCCCCAUCUCUGAGGAUGAUCGUGUCAAUCACUUGAUUUUGGUAGGGGCUGCUAGGCUUUGCUGUAAAAUUACUCUUCCCCUGUUAAAUUUAAAAAUAUUUUGUGGGCUAGUGACUUGAAACUAUAGGUCUUUUAGUUCUCGUCAAACUUUUAAUUUACACACUUAUGUCUAUCUGCAGGAAUGCGUGGUAUCCUAUUUUACUAAGUAAUAAUGCCUUGCUAUUAAUAUUUUGAUGCUCAAAUUGUCUUUAAUUUUGCUGGUAGGAGUCCUUUCAAGGUGGUUCUUUCAUCUUUUAGACAUGCCCCAUCAAGCACCUCCUUGCUUUUUCUACAAGUUGUUUGAGGUUUGUCUUGUUCUUUUUCCUGACACAACUCUAGGAUCAACCAUUUCUUAAAGAGCCCAGUUCAAGUGGAGAGUGUAUUUAGAAGCCAAGAUUUAGAACUUGGCCGACAGAAUGAAAACCUGUGACAGAAUGACACUUUUCCUUUGUUCUCUUCUGGGUAAAAGACAGGCAACGAGAACCCCGGUUCUGAAUGAGUGCAUGACACUGUAUCUCCAUAGGUCACAGUAUUCUGAGGGAAGGAGUCGCUGAAGUGGUAUAGUCUCCACUCUAAGGCAGGCAUAGGAAAACAGGACAAGGCCACAAAUACCCUUAUAAGAUUUACCUUUUUGUCCCAUAUCCUUUGUUCCUUUAAAAAUGCUUGUGUUUGGGAUACCUGGGUGGCUCAGCUGGUUGAGUGUUUGCCUUCCGCUCAGGUCAUGAUCUCAAGCUCCUAGGAUCAAGCCCCACAUUGGGCUCCCUGCUUAGUGGGAAGCCUGCUUCUCCUUCUACCUCUGUCUGCUGAUCCCUCUGCUUAUGCUCUCUCUCUGUCAAAUAAAGGAAUGAAAUAUUUUUUAAAAAUGCUGUAAUUAAAGAAUAAUGAUUACUUCACCCUACUGGUGAAGUAAUCAUAGAAGACUGGGAAUAUCAUAGAAGUUGGCCACAGAAUUCAGUCUACUAGUCUAACAAUGCUUGCCAUAGUGCAGGCAUACAAUAAUUCUUUUAUGAAUAAUCAUAAGUUAUUGCCAUUAAUUUUGUCUGCUGUGUGGUAAAUCCAAACACCUAGAGACUACAGUCCAUUUUGAUUGCAAAUAUAUUUUCUUAUACUUUUAUAGUAUUCUCUCGGCCUCAUCUGAUUUCUGCUUCUGAAAUUCCUGUUGUGUAUCAAUUAAAAUCGGUAUAUUUGUUACUAGGAAUCACCUUUUCUAUCAUUUCAGUUUAUCUGACUUCCUGGACUUUCUAAAAUCUCUUUUAUCACGUUAUCCUUCUACUUUAUGCAAUCUAGUGUCUCCGUCAUACUUUAAAAUGUGGUCGUCAAAUUUUUCAACAUUAAAAUUUUGUUCUCACAAGAAUGUUCCUUUUUCUCUCCUGCCUUUUCCAGAAAGUAAUCUGCAGCAUUCCCUCAAAUCUCCUUGAAGUUAUAAAUUUGUGUACAAAUGUCAGGACAUUUGUUGUAAUAACUAGUAAUUUU